Molecule: signal recognition particle RNA, 264 nt
Filed under: Chloroflexota bacterium
Lineage: Bacteria; Bacillati; Chloroflexota
Description: Chloroflexi bacterium signal recognition particle sRNA large type
Rfam family: Bacterial large signal recognition particle RNA
About the family: The signal recognition particle (SRP) is a universally conserved ribonucleoprotein involved in the co-translational targeting of proteins to membranes. Archaeal SRP consists of a 7S RNA and homologues of the eukaryotic SRP19 and SRP54 proteins. In most bacteria, the SRP consists of a 4.5S RNA and the Ffh protein (a homologue of the eukaryotic SRP54 protein).
Source: RNAcentral
CCGUGCUAGACGGGGAGCCAGCGGUGCCCUGCACCCGCAAUCCGCUUAGCGGGGUCGAAUUCCUGCCCGAGGCCGCUUGGUUGUCGAUUCUGCUCGUUUGGGACGGUGCUGAGAGUCGGGACCCGUGCGACAGGGCCCCUCGAACCCCGUCAGGUCCGGAAGGAAGCAGCGGUAAGAGGUAAGCUCUGGGCGCCGCGGACUACCCUGGCUGGAGCCGCGCCCGGCGAGUAAGGCGGGGGCCGGCGUUCGAAGGCAGGUGCACGG